ACCAAAGGGGGCUUAGGCUCCCGCGCAAAGAGAGGCCCAAGUGAGAUUAGCUAGUUGGUGGGGUAAAGGCUCACCAAGGCAACGAUCUCUAGCUGUUCUGAGAGGAAGAUCAGCCACACUGGGACUGAGACACGGCCCAGACUCCUACGGGAGGCAGCAGUGGGGAAUAUUGGACAAUGGGCGCAAGCCUGAUCCAGCCAUGCCGCGUGUGUGAAGAAGGCCUUCGGGUUGUAAAGCACUUUCAGUGGGGAGGAAG
This 256-nucleotide ribosomal RNA is filed under the name Salinimonas chungwhensis. RNAcentral describes it as "partial 16S ribosomal RNA". It matches the Rfam family "Bacterial small subunit ribosomal RNA", at positions 200 to 450 of the family's 1533-position model. Lineage: Bacteria; Pseudomonadati; Pseudomonadota; Gammaproteobacteria; Alteromonadales; Alteromonadaceae. The record is from RNAcentral.